This 3042-nucleotide long non-coding RNA is filed under the name Canis lupus familiaris (dog). RNAcentral's name for it is "lncRNA (ENSCAFG00030022474.1)". Lineage: Eukaryota; Metazoa; Chordata; Mammalia; Carnivora; Canidae. The record is from RNAcentral.
AUGCUUUGCUGUAGUGGCUGGUGGUACCCAGGACAGAGACUGUCAAUCAAAGGACCUUGCUACCCCCACAAGAAAGGUCAAGCCCCUAAGACUGAUACUCAAAAUACACUUGGACCAAUUAUUCAUGGUUUCUUAGAAGGAAUCAGUUUGUAAAACAUGAGAGAAAGCCUCAAGACCAUGCUGAGUGUUUCACUGCCUCUUGAGAUAUUCCCUGUGGGUUCUAUUGUAAGGCACAAGAAAAGGUUUGUAUGUAAUAUACAUUUGCUAUACCACUUGUACAGUCUAUAUUUAGUUUUGUCUGUUUGAUAUAUUUGAUUCUUCUGUGGAAGAUAAGAAAGCAAAUGGGAAAGUAAAGCUCACAAGAAAUGUUGAAAGUACACAGAAAGUGAGCCAAGAGCUUUUGAGAUAUUGGUGAAACUCCUAGGAUGUUAUCUUAGGAUGGUAAGUAAAGAUACGGUGUAAGGAAAUAGCUUGUGAGACAGGCAGAAAUCAUGUGAUGUGUUCCACAUAGACAGUAAAUUAGCAAUCUAUAAAAUAUAGUAAAAAAAGAAUAAGUGAAAUAUAUGAUGGGAAAAGACACGAAUGUUACCUAUAGAUAGAAAGGGAUGGAAGGAUCAAGUCAUGAUCGUGUCACCUCUGGACCAAUAGCUAUGUCAUCCCUAGAUGGCUACCCAUCAGUGACACCCAUUUUGGUCCCAUGUAUUAUUCCCCCCAAAUGAACAUCAAAGCCAGAGCUUCUGUAGACUAAUUGGGAAGCUAUAGCUGUGGCCAGGUGAACUUGCCUGUGUGUAUCUUUGAUAGAACAUGUGUGUGUCGUUAUCCCAGGGCACCUUCUGUCUGUUGGCCUCCUUGGUGCAACCUUAUCUCUGGUCUUCAUAAGCAUACCAUUUGUGGGAUAGGCUGAUGUGGGAGAGAGGGAGAGAAAGAGAGAAAGGAGAGAAAGGAAGAGAGAGAAGAGAUACGAGUAUGGUCCUCCCACCCACUUGGGUGGCCUUUUUCUGAGUGUGUUCAACUCUUUCCCUCUGUUUCUUAUGGUGUAUUUUAUUUUAUUUUUUAAAGAUUUAUUUGACAGAGACAGAGAAAAAGAGAGAAGGAGAGGCAGAGAGAGAGAGAGAGUCUUAAGCAGGCUCCAUGCUGAGUGCAGAGGCUGAUGCAGAGCCUGCUCUCAUGACCCUGAGAUCAGGACGUGAAUAGAAACCAAGAGUCAGAUGCUUAACUAACUGCACCACCCAGGAGCCCCUCUCAUGGUGUAUUUUAAAUAUAUUUACUAAAUCGUGCAAUUUUCAGCAUAUUCAAUUUUGAGGCUUUGAGCCUUUCUGUCUUGUGGCAUCAGGGAUGAUUUGCUUGGUAGUGUUCUCAGAGGUAAAUUCCCACCCGGCAACCAUAUUAGAUUAUUACCAUUUGGAUCUUUUUCACUCACAUCAUCUGUUUCCUUGGAUAAGACUCCAAUGGUGGAUACUUUAACUCCAUCAGAGGGCCUAGGAAAAGAGCUGUGCCAACAGAGUUUGGAAUAGAGGCAAAACCAAUUUUGGAGAGCUCCAAUGUGUGUUGAAAAAGAAAGCAAUCACAUAAAUGUGUUGUAUCACAUCCUGAAUAUGGUCUCAGGCCCUCUGCCAAGGUAGUCCGUAAACAUUUUUUAUGAAUUUGAUUUUUUUUUUUUCAUUAGGAAAAUUGCUGAACCUCUAAAUUACCCAGAGUAGCCAAAGAAGGACAGCAUGGGCCCUCUGUCAUUCAUUCAGAGCACAUUUGGGAGAAAGGAAGAAUGGUGGUUUGUAAAAAUCCAUAAAUAACAUAAAUAACAAAUGAUUUUAGUGACUCUAAGUGACUUAGCUGCUCACAAUCAGUGACGUCCUCAAUAUAUUAUUUAUACCUUUUGUGUUUUUUCUCAUAUAACAUCUUUUAUAUCCCUUCUGCUUACAGUAUUCUGUUGUUCAUGUAUUGUGUUUUAACCACAAACUUUUUGCCACUAUCAGUCACAUGGCUCUAAAAUGAAAUAUAGAUUAUAAAAGGAAACCCUUUCCACACAUUUAUGAAAUGGUUUCCAGCUGGUCUUAAAAGUGUCUCUGAUUCCCCCUGGAUGUAAGUGUUUAUCUGCUAAUGCUUAGCACUUGGGACUUCCCCUGCUCAGUUUCAAAAGUGGGAACAUGGAGAUAAAGCCAACGUUUUAAGAGAUUAGUAUCUGAGAAACAUAAAAUUGGAUGAAAUAAAUAUCACAUAUGUAUAAGAAGAAAGUUUUGAGCACUAUAUAGUGAAAUUAUGCCUGCGCUCAAAAAACAAACAAACAAACAAACAAACAAACCUAAAGCAACAAGAACAACAAACUCACUGUGUCAGAAAAUACAAGGCUCGGUCGUUUUGUGAUCCAGAGGAAUGGAGUAUCUUCAGAAUGUAAAGAUUAUAGGUGUGGGUGAUAAAGUCCCAAGUGAUAUGCCAAUUCCUGCAGAAGACCCUAGAGAAUCUUAUAGGAUUCUGGAAUCCCUAUAGAAAAUGGUCUGUGUGCCAAAGGAAAAAGGACCUAUCAGGUACCCUGGGUCCACUCUAGGUGCUCUGCUGUGUUAGUGGUUCCAAAGGUUUUUCAUGCUGCCACAUGUACUCAGGCCUUGGGGAUGACUCCUUGGUGGCUUGCUGACAGGAAAGGAGUUAGGGAGUUGUCACUUCCAGGUAACUUUAAGGACCAGGGAGAUCCCAGUGCCUGAAUUUAUAGGUUUAGGUAAAUGUUCAUUUUCCUUUUCUUUACACAACUUGCCUUUCCUGCCUGUGGUAACAAGCUUUCAUCAGUUAUAGGACCCAUUUAAAUCAAUCCAACUUUGGACUUCAACAAGAUGAAUGGUGGCAUCUUCCAGGAAUAUAGUGGAGAAAUCACUCUCAAAAUGAUAAAGCAUUGAUGUGCAAAGUAAGAAAGUCCAGAAAAAUGCUCCAUGUGAUUACUUUACUUCAAAAAGUCCUCUGACUUCAGUGCAUCCACCAAUCAUGGGCUAACUUUUCCUUCAUUUUAGCUAUCUCUGGUUAAAAUGGGUGGGGUGAGUCUCUUUGACAACAGUA